Molecule: transfer RNA, 65 nt
Filed under: Marmota monax (woodchuck)
Lineage: Eukaryota; Metazoa; Chordata; Mammalia; Rodentia; Sciuridae
Description: tRNA.Ala
Rfam family: tRNA (bases 4-60)
About the family: Transfer RNA (tRNA) molecules are approximately 80 nucleotides in length. Their secondary structure includes four short double-helical elements and three loops (D, anti-codon, and T loops). Further hydrogen bonds mediate the characteristic L-shaped molecular structure. tRNAs have two regions of fundamental functional importance: the anti-codon, which is responsible for specific mRNA codon recognition, and the 3' end, to which the tRNAs corresponding amino acid is attached (by aminoacyl-tRNA synthetases). tRNAs cope with the degeneracy of the genetic code in two manners: having more than one tRNA (with a specific anti-codon) for a particular amino acid; and 'wobble' base-pairing, i.e. permitting non-standard base-pairing at the 3rd anti-codon position.
Source: RNAcentral
GGCUAGCUCAGCGGUAGAGCACUUGCCUAGCAUGCAUGAGGCACUGAGUUCGACACUCAGCACCA